CUUUUUAUUUCCCUGCUGAAUCAAGUUUUUCUGCCUCCACUGGACUUCCUUUCUUUGGAAAAUACACUCAGUGGUAUUUUUCUGUAGGUUCUGGAUGUGUUUCUGGAGUUUCAGUGAGUUUCCCCACCCCUCCCUGUGGCGGUGCUGCCUGAGCCUCUCUCCAAGCGUCUGAUGGAGGCUUUGGGAAGAGCUUGGCUGCCUUUGCACCAGCGUCGAUCCCUCCCCAGCGACAACACCAAGUUUCACUCUGGAGCCUGAGCGACUGCAGAAGGUGGAGCUGAGGCUGUGCCCUCCUGGAUCCAGCCAAGAUGAAGCAGCACAAGGCAGCUCCAAGAUAAUGAUUUAUUUUUGGCCCAAACUCGGAAUACCUCUCAGGACACCUCAGCAAGGAGGGAGCAAAAGAACCAAUGCAUUAACUCUGAGAAGGGGCAGCAGAAGGAAAGCCUGGAGCUGGAACAUCCUUUGAGCAACAGCAAAGCAAGAGAAAGCAAAAACAUCCCUCUAAGAUGGCUGCAAACAGAAGCUUUCCUGGAGCCAUCCUUGACUCAGCCAAGGCCAGAUGGGACUUCUUCCUUCUUUGCAGAUCCUGAAGAUUAUAAAGCUUCAAUUUACUUUUCCACAACCAAAUGUUUAGUACCUGCUGGACUACAUUUUCCUUUGGUAUUUCUUUUUAGCAGCAGUCCCAAUCUUUAACCCACUGGUUCUUUUGGGUUGAGCCAAGGGUUCAUCUGAUCCACCUGGAAAUAUCAAGUUCCAGGACAUAAGAGCAUCACCUGCCUUCCUGACAAUUCCCAAAUUAAAUGCAGCACAGAAUCUUGGCUAUAUCUCAAAAAUAGGUGAUUUUUAUUUCCUUUAAUUUAAAGAGGAGGAGAGAAUACUUGUAGGAAAAAAAAAAAAAAAGAAAGAUGAGAAGGAAGAGAGAAGGUCAGUGAAUAUCCAGUACUGAUUUAGAAACAGGCUCUGCCAAGCAGGGGGAAAAGGAGCCUUUCCCAAUCCAUUCAGUUUAUGGUUAUUAGUAUUGAUAUUGUAUUUCUCUUGGCUCCCAAAAGGAAAAGUGGGGAAUGAAUCAGGAAAAAAAAAAUACUUUUCUGUAAAUAAUUUUUUUUUCCAAUUCAGAUGUUUUUUAGGAAACUAAUCUGGGGAGGGGGGAAAUCUGCUUCUCAAAUGUCAAGGACUUGAAAGACUAAAAAUACAUCACCGGAAUAAAUAAAUUAACCCAGAAGACA
This 1226-nucleotide long non-coding RNA is filed under the name Cyanistes caeruleus (blue tit). Its description in RNAcentral is "lncRNA (ENSCCEG00000004505.1)". Lineage: Eukaryota; Metazoa; Chordata; Aves; Passeriformes; Paridae. The record is from RNAcentral.